GUGGGGAAUAUUGUACAAUGGGCGAAAGCCUGAUGCAGCGACGCCGCGUGAGCGAUGAAGUAUUUCGGUACGUAAAGCUCUAUCAGCAGGGAAGAUAAUGACGGUACCUGACUAAGAAGCACCGGCUAAAUACGUGCCAGCAGCCGCGGUAAUACGUAUGGUGCAAGCGUUAUCCGGAUUUACUGGGUGUAAAGGGAGCGUAGGCGGCGUGGUAAGUCAGAAGUGAAAGCCCGGGGCUCAACCCCGGGACUGCUUUUGAAACUAUCAUGCUAGAGUGUCGGAGAGGUAAGGGGAAUUGCCGGUGUAGCGGUGAAAUGCGUAGAGAUCGGGAGGAACACCAGUGGCGAAGGCGGCUUACUGGACUGUAACUGACGCUGAGGCGCGAAAGUGUGGGGAGCAAACAGGAUUAGAAACCCUGGUAGUCC
RNAcentral lists this ribosomal RNA (425 nucleotides) under uncultured bacterium. RNAcentral describes it as "partial 16S ribosomal RNA". It matches the Rfam family "Bacterial small subunit ribosomal RNA", at positions 354 to 796 of the family's 1533-position model. The record is from RNAcentral.